CCUACGGGAGGCAGCAGUAGGGAAUCUUUCACAAUGGGCGAAAGCCUGAUGGAGCAACGCCGCGUGCAGGAUGAAGGCCUUCGGGUUGUAAACUGCUUUUAUAAGCGAGAAAUAUGAUGGUAACUUAUGAAUAAGGAUCGGCUAACUACGUGCCAGCAGCCGCGGUCAUACGUAGGAUCCGAGCAUUAUCCGGAGUUACUGGGUGUAAAGAGUUGCGUAGGUGGCAUAAUAAGUAGCUAGUGAAAUCUGGUGGCUCAACCAUUCAGACUAUUAGCUAAACUGUUAAGCUCGAGACCGUGAGGGGUAACUGGAAUUUCUAGUGUAGGAGUGAAAUCCGUAGAUAUUAGAAGGAACACCAAUAGCGUAGGCAGGUUGCUGGGACGGUACUGACGCUAAGGCACGAAAGCGUAGGGAGCAAACGGGAUUAGAUACCCCAGUAGUC
RNAcentral lists this ribosomal RNA (442 nucleotides) under uncultured bacterium. RNAcentral describes it as "partial 16S ribosomal RNA". It matches the Rfam family "Bacterial small subunit ribosomal RNA", at positions 338 to 795 of the family's 1533-position model. The record is from RNAcentral.